UAGGGAAUCUUCGGCAAUGGGGGGAACCCUGACCGAGCAACGCCGCGUGAGUGAAGAAGGUUUUCGGAUCGUAAAGCUCUGUUGUUAAGGAAGAACGAGUGUGAGAAUGGAAAGUUCAUACUGUGACGGUACUUAACCAGAAAGGGACGGCUAACUACGUGCCAGCAGCCGCGGUAAUACUUAGGUCCCGAGCGUUGUCCGGAUUUAUUGGGCGUAAAGCGAGCGCAGGCGGUUAGAUAAGUCUGAAGUUAAAGGCAGUGGCUCAACCAUUGUAGGCUUUGGAAACUGUUUAACUUGAGUGCAGAAGGGGAGAGUGGAAUUCCAUGUGUAGCGGUGAAAUGCGUAGAUAUAUGGAGGAACACCGGUGGCGAAAGCGGCUCUCUGGUCUGUAACUGACGCUGAGGCUCGAAAGCGUGGGGAGCGAACAGGAUUAGAUACCCUGGUAGUCCACGCCGUAUACGAUGAUGCUAGGUGUUAGUCCUUUCCCGGGACUUAUGCCUCAGCUAACGCAUUAAGCACUCCGCCUGGGGAGUACACCGCAAGUU
This 545-nucleotide ribosomal RNA is filed under the name uncultured bacterium. RNAcentral describes it as "bacterial SSU rRNA". It matches the Rfam family "Bacterial small subunit ribosomal RNA", at positions 355 to 894 of the family's 1533-position model. The record is from RNAcentral.